GACGAACGCUGGCGGCGUGCUUAACACAUGCAAGUCGAACGGAAAGGCCCUGCUUUUGUGGUGUGCUCGAGUGGCGAACGGGUGAGUAACACGUGAGUAACCUGCCCUUGACUUUGGGAUAACUUCAGGAAACUGGGGCUAAUACCGGAUAGGAGCUCCUGCUGCAUGGUGGGCGUUGGAAAGUUUCGGCGGUUGGGGUUGGACUCGCGGCUUAUCAGCUUGUUGGUGGGGUAGUGGAUGACCCAGGGUUUGACUGGUACGCGGCCUGAGAGGGUGACCGGCCUCAAGAGGACUGAGGGACGGCCCAGUCUGCAACGGUAGGCAGCAGUGGGGAAUAUGGCACAAUGGGAGGAAGCCUGAGGCAGCAACGCCGCGUUCGGGAUGACGGCCUUCGGGUUGUAAACCGCUGUCGCCUGUGACGAAGCGGUAGUGACGGUAAUGGGUAAAUAAGCACCGGCUAACUACGUG
Molecule: ribosomal RNA, 468 nt
Filed under: uncultured bacterium
Lineage: Bacteria
Description: partial 16S ribosomal RNA
Rfam family: Bacterial small subunit ribosomal RNA
Source: RNAcentral